This 422-nucleotide ribosomal RNA is filed under the name uncultured bacterium. RNAcentral's name for it is "bacterial SSU rRNA". It matches the Rfam family "Bacterial small subunit ribosomal RNA", at positions 355 to 774 of the family's 1533-position model. The record is from RNAcentral.
UGAGGAAUAUUGGGCAAUGCCCGCAAGGGUGACCCAGCAACGCCGCGUGGAGGAUGAAUGUCGUAAGAUUGUAAACUCCUGUUAGAGGGGAAGAAUAGUACCGGUUGGACCGGUAUAUGACUGUACCCUCAGGGAAAGCCCCGGCUAACUACGUGCCAGCAGCCGCGGUAAUACGGAGGGGGCAAGCGUUGUCCGGAUUUACUGGGUGUAAAGGGCGCGCAGGCGGGAUAAAAAGUCAGUGGUGAAAUCCUACAGCUUAACUGUAGAACCGCCUUUGNUACUUUUAUUCUUGAGUUCGGGAGAGAGAGACGGAAUUCCAGGUGUAGUGGUGAAAUACGUAGAUAUCUGGAAGAACACCAGUUGCGAAGGCGGUCUCUUGGUCCGACACUGACGCUGAGGCGCGAAAGCGUGGGGAGCAAACA